This 489-nucleotide ribosomal RNA is filed under the name uncultured bacterium. Its description in RNAcentral is "bacterial SSU rRNA". It matches the Rfam family "Bacterial small subunit ribosomal RNA", at positions 903 to 1397 of the family's 1533-position model. The record is from RNAcentral.
AAAUGAAUAGACGGGGGCCCGCACAAGCAGUGGAGUAUGUGGUUUAAUUCGAAGCAACGCGAAGAACCUUACCAGGUCUUGACAUCGUAUGCAUAACUUAGAGAUAAGUGAAAUCCCUUCGGGGACAUAUAGACAGGUGGUGCAUGGUUGUCGUCAGCUCGUGUCGUGAGAUGUUGGGUUAAGUCCCGCAACGAGCGCAACCCUUACCUUUAGUUGCUACGCAAGAGCACUCUAAAGGGACUGCCGUUGACAAAACGGAGGAAGGUGGGGAUGACGUCAAAUCAUCAUGCCCCUUAUGACCUGGGCUACACACGUACUACAAUGGCAAUUAACAAAGAGAAGCAAGACAGCGAUGUGGAGCAAAUCUCGAAAAAUUGUCCCAGUUCAGAUUGCAGGCUGCAACUCGCCUGCAUGAAGUCGGAAUUGCUAGUAAUCGUGGAUCAGCAUGCCACGGUGAAUACGUUCCCGGGCCUUGUACACACCGCCCGU